UACGUAGGACCCGAGCGUUAUCCGGAUUCACUGGGUGUAAAGGGUGUGUAGGCGGGCGUGCGCGUGCGGGGUGAAAGGUUCCGGCUCAACCGGAAACAUGCCUUGGAUACGGCACGUCUUGGGUGCGGGAGAGGACGGUGGAAUUCCUGGUGUAGCGGUGAAAUGCGUAGAUAUCAGGAGGAACACCAGUGGCGAAGGCGCCCAUCUGGACGGCUACUGACGCUGAGACGCGAAAGCGUGGGGAGCAAACAGG
This 253-nucleotide ribosomal RNA is filed under the name uncultured bacterium. Its description in RNAcentral is "partial 16S ribosomal RNA". It matches the Rfam family "Bacterial small subunit ribosomal RNA", at positions 524 to 776 of the family's 1533-position model. The record is from RNAcentral.